Molecule: ribosomal RNA, 493 nt
Filed under: uncultured bacterium
Lineage: Bacteria
Description: partial 16S ribosomal RNA
Rfam family: Bacterial small subunit ribosomal RNA
Source: RNAcentral
GACGAACGCUGGCGGCGUGCUUAACACAUGCAAGUCGAACGGUGAAGGGACCGGUUUUUGCUGGUUCUGGAUGAGUGGCGACCGGGUGAGUAACACGUGAGUAACCUGCCCCCUUCUUCUGGAUAACCGCAUGAAAGUGUGGCUAAUACGGGAUAUUCUGCGCCUGCUGCAUGGUGGGUGUGGGAAAGAUAUUGUUUCGGUGGGGGAUGGGCUCGCGGCCUAUCAGCUUGUUGGUGGGGUGAUGGCCUACCAAGGCGGUGACGGGUAGCCGGCCUGAGAGGGUGGACGGUCACACUGGGACUGAGACACGGCCCAGACUCCUACGGGAGGCAGCAGUGGGGAAUAUUGCACAAUGGGCGCAAGCCUGAUGCAGCGACGCCGCGUGAGGGAUGGAGGCCUUCGGGUUGUAAACCUCUUUCGCCAGUGAAGCAGGCCUGUCCCUUUUGUGGGUGGGUUGACGGUAGCUGGAGAAGAAGCGCCGGCUAACUACGUG